GAAGAGAAGUGACUCUCUUGAUGCUAUUUACUGAAGCAUGGCACCUUCAAGCCCAGGCUGGGCAGCCACUGACCCCAGAUAUGGGAAGGGGACCCCGUGAAUAAGAGCGAGGGAUACCUGGGUCAGGAGGUGCCAAACCUGGCUGUGCACCAGAGUCUCCUGGACAUUCUAGAGUCCUGCCUCCUGAGUGGAAUCUCUACAGGUGGUGCCUGGUUAUCUGUAUGUCUUAAGAGCUACCAACUGCUCCCCAGACCAACCCUUGGUAACCAGCAAGCCGAGAAGACCACUAAGGACCCUUCCAAGCCAUGACUACGAGACUCUGAGACCUCCAGAGAGAACUUUGCAUCCAACCUGAAACACAACACAUCCUAUGAGUCUCGGUUGGAGUCAACACAAAGAAGGUGCUAUUCUGCUUAGAAAUUCAUCUGGGACACGCGGGGCGGCUAUGUUUUCCUCUAUAUGAACCAGAGAUGCAAAGAAAGGCAGUUUUCAUAGAAAGAGAGAAGCAAGAAGUGGAGAUAAGAAGAGAGAAAGACCCCUCAGGCUCUGCCGGGCAACCUCCCAGGCUGUUGCGGAAGCUAGGUGGCACCCCUGAAGGAAGGACACAUUGGGAAACCACAAUCGCAUCAGAAGUGUUCUUAAUGACCAAGGAAUCAGACAGAAGGCUGGGUCCAGUGUUUAAUGGCGUCCGUCUUGGGGACCUUCAUCCCCACUCUGCAUCAGCACUUCUCAGCGGCUGUGACUGGUGCACAGCACUGUCGCAUUUAUCCAGGGGUCCGUGCGUCUUACUCCACGGCAGCCCCAGGCUCUUUUUUCUCUUUAGCUGUAUUCCAGGAUACAGCAUGGAAGCCAGCCUAUCGCAUGAAGGUGGUCUAAUGCCAUUUAUACCGAUUAAAAGGGUGAUCUUUCGUACUGGGAAUUAUAUUUCUUGAAAGUAUUAAACAAUGUAUAUUCUUCUGGGUCACCCUUUAAUUGUUUCUGGUUGCCUGAUAGCUUCCUACCUUUGCAGGAGAGGCAUCCAUUACCUUGGGGAGAAGAAGACGGAGGCUAGAACGAAGAAGGUACUGCUUGUCUUAAAACUCCAGAGUAGAGUUUAAGGCCAUGGCCAGACAAUUGCCUAUGCCAAGUGUCCUUAAUUGUCAUAGGUGCAGUAGGAAAGGAAGAAAGAAAAUGCUGACAAGUAACUAUGACCUAUCAUCUAUUGCAAGAUGUAUCUUAAAAUGUGGUGGAAAAUGUGCCAGGCUUUGCCGAGAGACAAGAGGGAUUUAAUUGGAGCUCCUCAAACUGGGCUUUACUUCUCAAGAGUCAGAGGGGAAGAGUGGACCCACACACCAGAGAGUGAGCUGGGCUGGACUAGAACAGGGAGGGCUUCCACCCAGCCCAGGAGGGCACGGCCUGUGGCCAAUGGGAAGAGCCGCAGAAAGAGAAAACGGACGAAGCAAGAGCUGGGCUCUGACGGUCAAGUCUGGAAGCAGGGGUAGAAACCUACGGUCACUGGGCUCGUGGCUUCCUCCCCCGGGGGAGCCCGGGAGGUGGCAACUGCCCCAGAAAGGUGGGCGCAGAGUGAGACCCGGCUUCCAGCCAGGCACAGAAGGAUCCCAGAGCCCGGGGGCACCAGCAGAGUGGGAGAAGCGACCAAGGGCUCCUGGGACCAGGAAGCUGGAGUCCAGGAGCCUCACAUCUGGCGCAAUGGCAAGGCCCACGGCUGUUGGCACUGAACAGCUUCAUGGCCCACACCCAGUGAGACCUGUCACACCACAGCUGACACAGGAGGCCACAGGGACCCAAGGACGGGGGCUACCACCUGACCCGGCAGGAUGAGGCAACUCCCCUUGAGGGGGGCAGGCUGGGACCUCUCCACAACCCCUGCAGAUGCCACACCAACAUAAGGGAGAGGGCCAGUGGCAGCCGGAGGGGUUGCCCUGAAAGGCCAGGUCCUAAGAGUUACUGAGAUUUAAAAUAAACUCAGUGACGGACACAGUCAUGCCUGCCCUGGGCUAAAAACCUUGACCUGGACCGAGUAUGCUGGAACUCAUUAAUCCUGGCAUGUAUUCAUUCAGUAAAUAUUUACAGAGCACACACUACCUGCCGGGCAAUGUUCUAGCUACUUGGGACAGAUACGAGAACGCAUCACACAAAAGCCCUACCGUCGAGCCUACAUUCCGCAGGGGGUGAACCGAUAGUACACUGUGACCGUAAUAAAGAAGGGACUUCCACGGGAUGUGAGACGCGAACCUGGAAAAUAAGUGUCUGCCUCAAGGAGUCUGGGCCUGAGAGCAAAACCAUGUCCAGUUACACAAUAUCCAUCCCCACCGGCGCCCCUACACUUGCGUAUGCCAGCGUCGCCUCCCUCUGAAGGACGCUGAGGACAGAAGGAGGAACACGAGGUAGGCCGUGUCCUCGAGGACCUGACAGCCCAGCCUGUGAGUUUGCACCAUGGGCUUCGCGGGGCAGGAACUGUGUCCUUUCCUUCAUUUAAUAAAUGUUUACCGAGCACCCAGUGAAAUGCAUGCCUGGCGCUGGGCACUCACACAACACACAAGACAUUCACAAAGCACACACG
Molecule: long non-coding RNA, 2563 nt
Organism: Aethalodelphis obliquidens (Pacific white-sided dolphin)
Lineage: Eukaryota; Metazoa; Chordata; Mammalia; Artiodactyla; Delphinidae
Exons: 3
Source: RefSeq, a predicted model, not a curated record